GCCGAAGUGGCGGAACUGGCAGACGCACACGACUCAAAAUCGUGCGCCUUCGGGCAUGUGGGUUCGACUCCCACCUUCGGCACCA
This 85-nucleotide transfer RNA is filed under the name Bacillota bacterium. RNAcentral's name for it is "tRNA-Leu". It matches the Rfam family "tRNA". Rfam says of the family: Transfer RNA (tRNA) molecules are approximately 80 nucleotides in length. Their secondary structure includes four short double-helical elements and three loops (D, anti-codon, and T loops). The record is from RNAcentral. Lineage: Bacteria; Bacillati; Bacillota.